AAAUAGCCCGGAUAGAAACGACAUCCUUUUUUGUGGCAGACAGAUCCCGAAGCUUCGGGAGGAGAUGGUCACAAAAAAGAUACAGUGGAUAGCCGGAUUAAGC
This 103-nucleotide small RNA is filed under the name Chryseobacterium formosense. Its description in RNAcentral is "Flavo-1 RNA". It matches the Rfam family "Flavo-1 RNA". Lineage: Bacteria; Pseudomonadati; Bacteroidota; Flavobacteriia; Flavobacteriales; Weeksellaceae. The record is from RNAcentral.